UAAAAGAAAAUAAAUAGAAUUAGGAAACUUACUUUUUUCUUUUGAUUAGGUCAUUAUGGGAGAAUUUGGAUAAAGAGGGAAUGGAAGAGGGGAAGAGAAUUAUGCUCAUUCAACCCCACGGCUAGAGAGAGAGAGAGAGAGAGGCGUGAAAGAGAGAGAAGGAGGAGAAGAAAGGAAGAAGAAGAAGAAGAGGUCAAGCUUGGGGUAUUUAAGAGAGGUUGCUUUUUGGGUGUUGGUUCUUGUGUUCUCUCAAGGAAGGCUCGUUGAGAAGUUCUCGUUUUACUUUGCUUGGACAUGAGGUAAGGAAGUUAGA
Humulus lupulus (European hop) is the source of this 313-nucleotide long non-coding RNA. RefSeq lists it as uncharacterized. The transcript is spliced from 3 exons. The record is from RefSeq and is a predicted model, not a curated record. Lineage: Eukaryota; Viridiplantae; Streptophyta; Magnoliopsida; Rosales; Cannabaceae.